GUUUUUUUAAGCCUUUUUUUUUUUUUUUUUAUAUAUGUGUUUUUUUUUCGUCAGGACGAACGCUGGCGGCGUGCUUAACACAUGCAAGUCGAACGAUGAAGCCCCUUCGGGGGUGGAUUAGUGGCGAACGGGUGAGUAACACGUGGGCAAUCUGCCCUGCACUCUGGGACAAGCCCUGGAAACGGGGUCUAAUACCGGAUACGACACAGGGAGGCAUCUCCUCUGUGUGGAAAGCUCCGGCGGUGCAGGAUGAGCCCGCGGCCUAUCAGCUUGUUGGUGAGGUAACGGCUCACCAAGGCGACGACGGGUAGCCGGCCUGAGAGGGCGACCGGCCACACUGGGACUGAGACACGGCCCAGACUCCUACGGGAGGCAGCAGUGGGGAAUAUUGCACAAUGGGCGCAAGCCUGAUGCAGCGACGCCGCGUGAGGGAUGACGGCCUUCGGGUUGUAAACCUCUUUCAGCAGGGAAGAAGCGCAAGUGACGGUACCUGCAGAAGAAGCGCCGGCUAACUACGUGCCAGCAGCCGCGGUAAUACGUAGGGCGCAAGCGUUGUCCGGAAUUAUUGGGCGUAAAGAGCUCGUAGGCGGCUUGUCGCGUCGGUUGUGAAAGCCCGGGGCUUAACUCCGGGUCUGCAGUCGAUACGGGCAGGCUAGAGUUCGGUAGGGGAGAUCGGAAUUCCUGGUGUAGCGGUGAAAUGCGCAGAUAUCAGGAGGAACACCGGUGGCGAAGGCGGAUCUCUGGGCCGAUACUGACGCUGAGGAGCGAAAGCGUGGGGAGCGAACAGGAUUAGAUACCCUGGUAGUCCACGCCGUAAACGGUGGGCACUAGGUGUGGGCAGCAUUCCACGUUGUCCGUGCCGUAGCUAACGCAUUAAGUGCCCCGCCUGG
RNAcentral lists this ribosomal RNA (890 nucleotides) under Streptomyces thermoviolaceus. RNAcentral's name for it is "bacterial SSU rRNA". It matches the Rfam family "Bacterial small subunit ribosomal RNA", at positions 1 to 876 of the family's 1533-position model. The record is from RNAcentral. Lineage: Bacteria; Bacillati; Actinomycetota; Actinomycetes; Kitasatosporales; Streptomycetaceae.